UUGACGGGGACCCGCACAAGCGGUGGAUGAUGUGGUUUAAUUCGAUGCAACGCGAAAACCUUACCCACCUUUGACAUGGCAGGAAUCCCGAAGAGAUUUGGGAGUGCUCGAAAGAGAACCUGCACACAGGUGCUGCGUGGCUGUCGUCAGCUCGUGUCGUGAGAUGUUGGGUUAAGUCCCGCAACGAGCGCAACCCUUAUCAUUAGUUGCUACGCAAGGGCACUCUAAUGAGACUGCCGGUGACAAACCGGAGGAAGUGGGGAUGACGUCAAGUCCUCAUGGCCCUUAUGGGUAGGGCUUCACACGUCAUACAAUGGUCGGUACAGAGGGUUGCCAAGCCGCGAGGUGGAGCCAAUCCCAGAAAGCCGAUCGUAGUCCGGAUUGUUCUCUGCAACUCGAGAGCAUGAAGUCGGAAUCGCUAGUAAUCGCGGAUCAGCAUGUCCGCGGUCGAAUACGUUCCCGGGCCUU
Molecule: ribosomal RNA, 468 nt
Filed under: uncultured Thiobacillus sp.
Lineage: Bacteria; Pseudomonadati; Pseudomonadota; Betaproteobacteria; Nitrosomonadales; Thiobacillaceae
Description: bacterial SSU rRNA
Rfam family: Bacterial small subunit ribosomal RNA
Source: RNAcentral